ACAGGUGUUGCAUGGCUGUCGUCAGCUCGUGUCGUGAGAUGUUCGGUUAAGUCCGCUAACGAGCGCAACCCUCGUCGUUAUGUUAUAUGUGUCAUACGAGACUGCCGGUAAAAGCCGAGGAAGGUGAGGAUGAUGUCAAGUCAGCAUGACCUUUUAUAUCCAGGGCUACGACACACGCUACAAUGGUCUGUACAAUGGGUAGCCAAGCCGCGAGGCGGAGCCAAUCCUGAAAGCAAGGCCUCAGUUCAGAUUGCAGUCUGCAACUCGACUGCAUGAAGCCGGAGUUGCUAGUAACCGCAGGUCAGCAAUACUGCGGUGAAUACGUUCCCGGGUCUU
Molecule: ribosomal RNA, 336 nt
Filed under: uncultured Anaerolineaceae bacterium
Lineage: Bacteria; Bacillati; Chloroflexota; Anaerolineae; Anaerolineales; Anaerolineaceae
Description: bacterial SSU rRNA
Rfam family: Bacterial small subunit ribosomal RNA
Source: RNAcentral